CUAAGGCUAAAUACUCUCUAGUGACCGAUAGUGAACCAGUACCGUGAGGGAAAGGUGAAAAGCACCCCGGAAGGGGAGUGAAAUAGAACCUGAAACCGUGUGCUUACAAGUAGUCAGAGCCCGUUAAUGGGUGAUGGCGUGCCUUUUGUAGAAUGAACCGGCGAGUUACGAUUUGAUGCAAGGUUAAGCAGUAAAUGUGGAGCCGUAGCGAAAGCGAGUCUGAAUAGGGCGUUUAGUAUUUGGUCGUAGACCCGAAACCAGGUGAUCUACCCUUGGUCAGGUUGAAGUUCAGGUAACACUGAAUGGAGGACCGAACCGACUUACGUUGAAAAGUGAGCGGAUGAACUGAGGGUAGCGGAGAAAUUCCAAUCGAACCUGGAGAUAGCUGGUUCUCUCCGAAAUAGCUUUAGGGCUAGCCUCAAGUGAUGAUUAUUGGAGGUAGAGCACUGUUUGGACGAGGGGCCCCUCUCGGGUUACCGAAUUCAGACAAACUCCGAAUGCCAAUUAAUUUAACUUGGGAGUC
This 523-nucleotide ribosomal RNA is filed under the name Staphylococcus aureus. RNAcentral describes it as "partial 23S ribosomal RNA". It matches the Rfam family "Bacterial large subunit ribosomal RNA", at positions 460 to 985 of the family's 2925-position model. The record is from RNAcentral. Lineage: Bacteria; Bacillati; Bacillota; Bacilli; Caryophanales; Staphylococcaceae.